CGGACGUGGGUAACCUGCCUUAUACAGGGGGAUAACAGUCAGAAAUGGCUGCUAAUACCGCAUAAGCGCACAGAGCUGCAUGGCUCAGUGUGAAAAACUCCGGUGGUAUAAGAUGGACCCGCGUUGGAUUAGCUUGUUGGCAGGGUAACGGCCCACCAAGGCGACGAUCCAUAGCCGGCCUGAGAGGGUGAACGGCCACAUUGGGACUGAGACACGGCCCAG
Molecule: ribosomal RNA, 222 nt
Filed under: uncultured bacterium
Lineage: Bacteria
Description: partial 16S ribosomal RNA
Rfam family: Bacterial small subunit ribosomal RNA
Source: RNAcentral